AUUUAUAUAGUAUAAAUAUUACAUUUAAUUUCCAAUUAAAAAAUUUAAUUUAUUUUAAUAUAAAUA
Molecule: transfer RNA, 66 nt
Filed under: Myrmica scabrinodis
Lineage: Eukaryota; Metazoa; Arthropoda; Insecta; Hymenoptera; Formicidae
Also listed under: 1 other name
Description: transfer RNA-Gly
Source: RNAcentral